UACGGGGGGGGUAAGCGUUGUUCGGAAUUACUGGGCGUAAAGGGCUCGUAGGCGGCCAACUAAGUCUUACGUGAAAUCCCUCAGCUUAACUGGGGAACUGCGUGUGAUACUGGAUGGCUUGGAUUUGGGAGAGGGAUGCGGAAUUCCAGGUGUAGCGGUGAAAUGCGUAGAUAUCUGGAGGAACACCAAUGGCGAAGGCAGCUCGCUGGGACGUUACUGACGCUGAGACGCGAAAGCGUGGGGAGCAAACAGG
This 253-nucleotide ribosomal RNA is filed under the name uncultured bacterium. RNAcentral describes it as "partial 16S ribosomal RNA". It matches the Rfam family "Bacterial small subunit ribosomal RNA", at positions 524 to 776 of the family's 1533-position model. The record is from RNAcentral.